RNAcentral lists this ribosomal RNA (302 nucleotides) under uncultured bacterium. RNAcentral's name for it is "partial 16S ribosomal RNA". It matches the Rfam family "Bacterial small subunit ribosomal RNA", at positions 508 to 807 of the family's 1533-position model. The record is from RNAcentral.
GCAGCCGCCGCGGGAAUACGGAGGGUGCAAGCGUUAAUCGGAAUUACUGGGCGUAAAGCGCACGCAGGCGGUCUGACAAGUCAGAUGUGAAAUCCCCGGGCUUAACCUGGGAACUGCAUUUGAAACUGUCAGGCUGGAGUCUUGUAGAGGGGGGUGGAAUUCCAGGUGUAGCGGUGAAAUGCGUAGAGAUCUGGAGGAAUACCGGUGGCGAAGGCGGCCCCCUGGACAAAGACUGACGCUCAGGUGCGAAAGCGUGGGGAGCAAACAGGAUUAGAUACCCGUGUAGUCCCUGUCUCUUAUAC